UUACUGAGAUGGACAAAACCCCUGAACAGUAAUGAUACAAUGGAAGUUGGUCAAAAGGAGAAGCUCCUUUGGACCAGAUUCGGUGCUCUUCAGCCAGUUUCAGGACCUGUAAAUGCCACUCAAUGAACAUGAUGGACAGUUAAAGAAUAACAAUUUUGCAGAACGAGUGUUAACUAUGACCCGAGGGUAAAGACAGACUUCUGACCGUGCACCCAAAUGUGAGAAGGCGGUCAUUAUCAGGAUGUCUCCAGCAUAACAAAGGUAAAGUGAGUUCACAGUGACUCCAGAGGAGGGUGUUUUAGUACUAGUAGACCAAAUACUGAAGAAAAAAGAAUUCCUGAUGCAAGGAGGGGUACAUGCAUACUCAUGCCCAGGAUGAGAAGAAGGUCAUGAUGUUAAGCUGGCAAAGGAGUGGGUUUGGUAAAGGAAAUGG
This is a long non-coding RNA of Gallus gallus (chicken), 433 nucleotides long. NCBI's taxonomy places the organism in Eukaryota, Metazoa, Chordata, Aves, Galliformes, Phasianidae. The record is from Ensembl.